GUUCCUGUUGCUCAAUUGGUAGAGCAUGGUACUUGCAAUGCCAAGGUCUUGGGUUUGAUUCCCAAGGAAAACA
This is a non-coding RNA of Myxocyprinus asiaticus (Chinese sucker), 73 nucleotides long. The record is from the annotation of a RefSeq genome assembly. NCBI's taxonomy places the organism in Eukaryota, Metazoa, Chordata, Actinopteri, Cypriniformes, Catostomidae.